This is a long non-coding RNA of Etheostoma spectabile (orangethroat darter), 105 nucleotides long. RefSeq lists it as uncharacterized. Lineage: Eukaryota; Metazoa; Chordata; Actinopteri; Perciformes; Percidae. The record is from RefSeq and is a predicted model, not a curated record. The transcript is spliced from 3 exons.
UGUGUGUUGUGUGUGUGUGGUGUGUGUGUAUAGUCUUGUUUAACUAUAUUCGUGGGGUCUGAAGACCGGGAGUCCAGUAUAGUUGUGGGGUGCCGACAGCAUUGU